CCCUUAGAUGUUCUGGGCCGCACGCGCGCUACACUGACGAAUGCAACGAGCUUAUAACCUUGGCCGAAAGGUCUGGGUAAUCUCCAAAUUUCGUCGUGAUGGGGAUAGAUUAUUGCAAUUAUUAAUCUUCAACGAGGAAUGCCUAGUAAGCGCAAGUCAUCAGCUUGCGUUGAUUACGUCCCUGCCCUUUGUACACACCGCCCGUCGCUCCUACCGAUUGAGUGGUCCGGUGAGGCUUUGGGAUCUGAGCAAAGAGAGCGUUUCGCUCGUUUUGCCCGGAAAACUCAGUCGAACCUUAUCAUUUAGAGGAAGGAGAAGUCGUAACA
This 326-nucleotide ribosomal RNA is filed under the name uncultured eukaryote. RNAcentral's name for it is "partial 18S ribosomal RNA". It matches the Rfam family "Eukaryotic small subunit ribosomal RNA", at positions 1470 to 1796 of the family's 1831-position model. The record is from RNAcentral.